CGCAUCUGUGCAUGCAGCAUAUCAAUAAGCGGAGGAAAAGAAACUAACAAGGAUUCCCCUAGUAACGGCGAGUGAAGCGGGAAGAGCUCAAAUUUGGAAAUCUUAAAGGGUUUCCCUUUACGAAUUGUAGUUUAAAGAAGUGUUUUCUGUUGAGGUUUUGGUAAAAGUUCUUUGGAAUAGGACAUCAUAGAGGGUGAGAAUCCCGUAUUUGACCUUUACUUUCCAACUUUGUGAUACACUUUCAAAGAGUCGGAUUGUUUGGGAAUGCAGUCCAAAAUGGGUGGUAAAUUUCAUCUAAAGCUAAAUAUUGGCGAGAGACCGAUAGCGAACAAGUACCGUGAGGGAAAGAUGAAAAGAACUUUGAAAAGAGAGUUAAACAGUACGUGAAAUUGUCAAAAGGGAAGCGUUUGACACCAGUGUUGCUUUUUCUGAAAAUCAAUUAAAGAACUGUUUAUGCUAAGCUGUUUAGACUUUAUCAGCUAUCUGUUUAGUUUUGAGCUUUUCUUUAAUGCACUUUUCAGUUAACAAGUCAACAUCAAUUUCUUUUGCUGUAAAAAAGCUUGAGGAAGGUGGCUUGAGAUUCGUCUUAAGUGUUUAUAGCCUCUUGCCUAUGCAGUCGGAGAGAUUGAGGUCUGCAGCGUAGAUCCUUCGGGGCUAAAUGCAUUUGUGCUAAGUUAUAGCAUUUUAUAGACAACUUGUUGACUAUGAUUUGUCUUGUAGCUUACUCGCUUAUGUUAUUUUACCUACGCUUAGGAUGUUGAGUCGUAGAGCACGCAG
Molecule: ribosomal RNA, 777 nt
Filed under: uncultured Neocallimastigales
Lineage: Eukaryota; Fungi; Neocallimastigomycota; Neocallimastigomycetes; Neocallimastigales
Description: partial large subunit ribosomal RNA
Rfam family: Eukaryotic large subunit ribosomal RNA
Source: RNAcentral